Haliotis rufescens (red abalone) is the source of this 311-nucleotide long non-coding RNA. RefSeq lists it as uncharacterized. The transcript is spliced from 3 exons. NCBI's taxonomy places the organism in Eukaryota, Metazoa, Mollusca, Gastropoda, Lepetellida, Haliotidae. The record is from RefSeq and is a predicted model, not a curated record.
AAGCCAUCUCAACUGGAUUUGCAGAUGAGCAGAACUGCCCUGUAGCAGAUAAUCUCACGGACUUCUCCGAUCGAUCCGUAGCCAGGAGCACACGGGAUACCCUGCCGCUUUGGAUCGCGCCUAUCUAUGGGAGAAGCUGUGAGCCCUGUCCACCCAGAGUCCACUACCUGUAUCGUUUCUACCGGCGUUGUUACGUCAUCUUCCCCUACAGACAGUGGGUCAGAUACGUCACGUGUCCGUCCAAAUGCAACGAACCGUGUUGGGGUUCCAAUACAAGAUGCGUGCCAACACGCUACAUCCGGGUGUGGGUG